This 500-nucleotide ribosomal RNA is filed under the name uncultured Glomeromycotina. Its description in RNAcentral is "partial small subunit ribosomal RNA". It matches the Rfam family "Eukaryotic small subunit ribosomal RNA", at positions 591 to 1092 of the family's 1831-position model. Lineage: Eukaryota; Fungi; Glomeromycota. The record is from RNAcentral.
CCAAUAGCGUAUAUUAAAGUUGUUGCCGUUAAAAAGCUCGUAGUUGAAUUUCGGGGUCAGUAGGUUGGUCAUGCCACUGGUAUGUACUGGCUUCACUGAUUCCUCCUUCCUGAUGAGCCGUAAUGCCAUUAAUUUGGUGUUGCGAGGAAUCUGGACUGUUACUUUGAAAAAAUUAGAGUGUUUAAAGCAGGCUAACGCUUGAAUACAUUAGCAUGGAAUAAUGAAAUAGGACGUUCGAUCUUAUUUUGUUGGUUUCUAAGAUUGACGUAAUGAUUAAUAGGGAUAGUUGGGGGCAUUAGUAUUCAAUUGUCAGAGGUGAAAUUCUUGGAUUUAUUGAAGACUAACUACUGCGAAAGCAUUUGCCAAGGAUGUUUUCAUUAAUCAAGAACGAAAGUUAGGGGAUCGAAGACGAUCAGAUACCGUCGUAGUCUUAACCAUAAACUAUGCCGACUAGGGAUCGGAUGAUGUUAAUUUUUUAAUGACUCAUUCGGCGCCUUACG